This 373-nucleotide ribosomal RNA is filed under the name uncultured prokaryote. RNAcentral's name for it is "bacterial SSU rRNA". It matches the Rfam family "Bacterial small subunit ribosomal RNA", at positions 524 to 896 of the family's 1533-position model. The record is from RNAcentral.
UACGAAGGGGGCUAGCGUUGUUCGGAAUUACUGGGCGUAAAGGGCGCGUAGGCGGCUCUGUGCGUCGAGCGUGAAAGGCCUGGGCUCAACCCGGGAAUGGCGCUCGAUACGAUGGGGCUAGAGUGCAGGAGAGGAUGGUGGAAUUCCCAGUGUAGAGGUGAAAUUCGUAGAUAUUGGGAAGAACACCGGUGGCGAAGGCGGCCAUCUGGACUGCAACUGACGCUGAGGCGCGAAAGCGUGGGGAGCAAACAGGAUUAGAUACCCUGGUAGUCCACGCUGUAAACGAUGUGCGCUAGACGUUGGCGGACCUAGUUCGCCGGUGUCGCAGCUAACGCAUUAAGCGCACCGCCUGGGGAGUACGGCCGCAAGGUUA